Dioscorea cayenensis subsp. rotundata (Guinea yam) is the source of this 148-nucleotide long non-coding RNA. RefSeq lists it as uncharacterized. The transcript is spliced from 3 exons. Lineage: Eukaryota; Viridiplantae; Streptophyta; Magnoliopsida; Dioscoreales; Dioscoreaceae. The record is from RefSeq and is a predicted model, not a curated record.
GCAACCAUGAAAUGGUUGUGAGCCACCAAAUGCCUUUAGCAUAUUUCAUAAUUGAAUGUCAUUGAACAACGUCUCGCUGAAUUGUUUGGUUAUUGUGAAAAAUUAAUUGCAGUCAAUGCAGAGAACACAUGCCAUUCACAAGCACUCC